UGGCGGGACGGGGUGGAGUAAUGUCUGGGAAACUGCCCGACGAGGGGGGAGUAAUACUGGAAACGGUAGCUAAUACCGCAUAACGUCGCAAGACCAAAGAGGGGGACCUUCGGGCCUCUUGCCAUCGGAUGUGCCCAGAUGGGAUUAGCUAGUAGGUGGGGUAACGGCUCACCUAGGCGACGAUCCCUAGCUGGUCUGAGAGGAUGACCAGCCACACUGGAACUGAGACACGGUCCAG
Molecule: ribosomal RNA, 238 nt
Filed under: uncultured bacterium
Lineage: Bacteria
Description: partial 16S ribosomal RNA
Rfam family: Bacterial small subunit ribosomal RNA
Source: RNAcentral